UGCCAGCCGCCGCGGUAAUACGUAUGUGGCAAGCGUUGUUCGGAAUUACUGGGCGUAAAGCGCGUGUAGGCGGUUCGUUAAGUCUGAUGUGAAAGCCCGGGGCUCAACCCCGGAAGUGCAUUGGAAACUGGCGAACUUGAGUACGGGAGAGGAAAGUGGAAUUCCGAGUGUAUGGGUGAAAUCCGUAGAUAUUCGGAGGAACACCAGUGGCGAAGGCGGCUAACUGGACCGGAACUGACGCUGAUGCACGAAAGCGUGGGUAGCGAACGGGAUUAGAUA
This 279-nucleotide ribosomal RNA is filed under the name uncultured bacterium. RNAcentral's name for it is "partial 16S ribosomal RNA". It matches the Rfam family "Bacterial small subunit ribosomal RNA", at positions 506 to 784 of the family's 1533-position model. The record is from RNAcentral.